AGUGAACGCUGGCGGUAGGCCUAACACAUGCAAGUCGAACGGCAGCACAGUAAGAGCUUGCUCUUACGGGUGGCGAGUGGCGGACGGGUGAGGAAUACAUCGGAAUCUACUUUUUCGUGGGGGAUAACGUAGGGAAACUUACGCUAAUACCGCAUACGACCUACUGGUGAAAGCAGGGGAUCUUCGGACCUUGCGCGAUUGUAUGAGCCGAUGUCGGAUUAGCUAGUUGGCGGGGUAAAGGCCCACCAAGGCGACGAUCCGUAGCUGGUCUGAGAGGAUGAUCAGCCACACUGGAACUGGGACACGGUCCAGACUCCUACGGGAGGCAGCAGUGGGGAAUAUUGGACAAUGGGCGCAAGCCUGAUCCAGCCAUACCGCGUGGGUGAAGAAGGCCUUCGGGUUGUAAAGCCCUUUUGUUGGGAAAGAAAAGCAGCAGGUUAAUACCCCGCUGUUCUGACGGUACCCAAAGAAUAAGCACCGGCUAACUUCGUG
Molecule: ribosomal RNA, 492 nt
Filed under: uncultured bacterium
Lineage: Bacteria
Description: partial 16S ribosomal RNA
Rfam family: Bacterial small subunit ribosomal RNA
Source: RNAcentral